This 499-nucleotide ribosomal RNA is filed under the name uncultured bacterium. RNAcentral describes it as "bacterial SSU rRNA". It matches the Rfam family "Bacterial small subunit ribosomal RNA", at positions 28 to 517 of the family's 1533-position model. The record is from RNAcentral.
GAUGAACGCUAGCUACAGGCUUAACACAUGCAAGUCGAGGGGCAGCAGGGAUUUAGCUUGCUAAAUUCGCUGGCGACCGGCGCACGGGUGCGUAACGCGUAUCCAACUUUCCCGUUACUCUCGGAUAGCCUUCCGAAAGGGAGAUUAAUACGAGAUGGUGUUUUAAUUCCGCAUGUUAUUAGAACUAAAGAUUUAUCGGUAACGGAUAGGGAUGCGUGACAUUAGAUAGUUGGCGGGUAACGGCCCACCAUGUCUACGAUGUCUAGGGGUUCUGAGAGGAAGGUCCCCCACACUGGAACUGAGACACGGACCAAACUCCUACGGGAGGCAGCAGUGAGGAAUAUUGGUCAAUGGACGCAAGUCUGAACCAGCCAUGCCGCGUGCAGGAUGACGGCUCUAUGAGUUGUAAACUGCUUUUGUAUGAGGGUAAAAUCGGGUACGUGUACCUGACUGAAAGUAUCAUACGAAUAAGGAUCGGCUAACUCCGUGCCAGCAGCCG